UUUCAAAAUAAUGCUUUCAGGGAUCAGAUGUAUUUUCCCAGAUUGCCAGUAAAUGAAUCUCUUAUCAUCCUGCUGGGUAGUUCCCUUCUGUUCACUUUUCUCUGGAAAUUACCAGGGGCUGCUGUUUUGACAGGUGUGAGCCUCCCCUCCCAGCAUCUCUGCCCUCCCCAUUUCCGCCACACCCUGGGAAGUGCCUUUCAGCUAAUAGCAGUUGCCUUCAGGGCAGAGGCCCUGUGCUCAGAACAACUGGUAGACAGGGAGGAGCAGGUUUAUAUUGAAGUGCUCUCCUGGCAAGUUCUGUUAGGGUUAAAUGAGGCACACGCCAGACUGCCCCACCCCUGCAGUUUGGAGAAUGCAUAGGGGAGUCUGUUUAAAUACAUGCAGCACAAAUUAUACCUCACACGGAAUACACAGAAAAUGCAGUUUUAUUUUGAAAUUUUGCUUGAGGUCUUGCAGAUCAAAGAACAGUGUGGGGCUGGGGAUGUGGCUCAAGCAAUAGCGUGCUCGCCUGGCAUGCGUGCGGCCCAGGUUCGAUCCUCAGCACCACAUACCAACAAAGAUGCUGUGUCCGCCGAGAACUAAAAAAUAAAUAUUAAAAAAAAAGAACAGUGUGAAUUCCAAAGUAACUCACUUCCUUAUUAGGAAUCCCAAAAGUGCGUUGUCAGGAGACCAGAUGGAAAUUCCUUGAUAGGGUACUGGUUUGAUAGGAGGUAUCAUAUUUGGAUUUUAAUGGCUCUUGCUGGAAAUCUGCUGGAAAUUCUUUUAUUAAAUUUUCAUUCAAAGAAGUACACAUUUGGAGCCUGCUCAGCUUAGGUGCUGGGUGCUGGGGAUGCUGGAGUGAACAGGCAGGCGGACAUCAUCGCUGGGAAGAUGGGUCACACCCAGGAGUCUGUUGGGCUAGCCAUUGCCAUCAGGAGGUGGUGGUGGGCCUGGUGCAAAGGUUUUGGCAGAGUGGGCAGCAAGAGCAGAGGCUCAGGCAGGGAAGGGUGGACCUGGUGUGUGAUUAGAACAGGGAGCAGGGAGGAGAGGAUGGUGGGAGACCAAGUCCCAGGGGUGGGCAGGAGUUGUUGUUCUUAUUUGAAGAGCUGGAAGAGUAGGUGGCAGCCUGUUGAUCCCAUGUCCUGAUCAGAGUGUGGGAAAGUGAGAGGUCUUGGUGAUUUAGGAUUCCUAUUCUGUAGGCUGGCACAGCAUGGGGAUGUGCACUGAGAUGUAGGUGACAGGGAUAGCAGUGCUUGCCCCACAUACCAAGUGCACCAGGAGCUAAGUCGAUCAUCCAGCUCCCUCUUCUGGGACCAUCCUGCAGAGAACUCUUGGUCCUUCCCUUGCCAGCCAUCCGCUGAGAGUGGCUUAAGUUGUGAGAAGGAAGAGUAUAGGCUUUGCUCCACAGUGGGCAGAGGCUGUCCCCACAGCUUGCAGGUUCAGUGAGGCGGGCUCAGGCAGGGGGUUUGGUAAAGACUGUCCACAGUGCUGCAGUGACAGAAAAACCCUAAAAUGUCCAGAUGUUCUCCAAGUGUCAGAAAUGACCAGCAUCCUGUGUCCUGACAGCCACCUUUCUGCUCAUGACUGCUGGGGAGGUUCUCCCCAGGGGAGUCCCUCUUUCCAGGAGGGGUUACUGACUCCCCAGAGGCAGGCAGAGAGGGGCAGGCUCACAGACAGCUGCUCUGGUGGGACCAGGCAGCAUGAGUCCAGGCUCGUUGGCACAAAGGCCAAUGCACUGUCCCCUGCUCUGGGAGUUCAGAGGUGCACCAGAGGCCAAUGCUCUGUCCCUUUCUCAGAGAGUUCAGAGGUGCACCAGAGGCCAACCUACUGUCCCUUGCUCGGGGAGCUCACGUCUGGGUGGAGGAGCCAAAACAUAAGCCUGAACACAGCGGAGGGAGAAUUCAAUGUGCGGCUCCUGUCAGCUUACCUCCCCAGCCCAGCUGGGGUUACAGGUGUGCACCAAGACGGACAAGCAGGAGAAGGUCAAGCUCAACUUUGACAUGACGGCCUCACCCAAGAUCCGCAUGAGCAAGCCCCUGCUGGGCGCCGGCGCAGGCUGCCUCAUUUCACUUGUCAGACAUGACAUGCUCGCCCAUGAGCACCAACUCCUUGGUGCACACGGGCUCCGAUGUGGAACAGGACUCCCACAAGAAGGCCACCUCCAGCCACUUCAGCACCAGCGAGGAAUCCAUGGACUUCCUGGACAAGAGCAUUGGUCAGCUCCAGGACGGGCGGGACAGGGGACCCGAGGCCACGUGGGCGAGGGAAAGGGCUCCCGUAGGGGAGAGGCUGGCUGCAAAAUAAGGACCUUGAAUGUAGAACCGAGGCCCAGACCAGAGGCGGGGCUGGACAGGCUCCUAGCGGUCAGUCACGGGAUUGGUGGGAAUAGUUUUCUGGUGGGCGGACUUCGGGCCAGAGCCUCUGGCCGCUGGUGCUUCACCAGAACCGGGUGGAAGGGUCAGCAGGGUUUGUCCCUAGUGGGUCAGGGUCAGCCCCUGCAGUGCUGUGCUGGAACUGGAGCCUAGAAGAAGCUGGGGAAGACACGCCCUGGGGAGGACACACGCUGGAGACCAGGCUUCUCCCACCAGCUGGUCCCCUAUGGAAGUUCUGAUACCAGGCUUGCCAUCUGAUGGCCCAACGUCGUUGCUGUAGGUUGCUGUAGUUCACGCUUUCUGUUCACCGAUGGCUGCCUGCCCCACUUGGGCACCAGAGCCCGAACCCGUAGCCUCCGCAGGAACUGCAGGGUUAUGCUUCCCUGCCUGCAAAUUUUCAAUGAGUGAUUAGAUGUGAUCCUUGCUCUGUGUGACCUACAAAUGAGAUUAGUGUUUCCAAAAGGCUCACUAGAAUUCAUUCCUACACCUGAGUGGAGGUGGCCAGAAAUUCUUUUAGAGUUCACUUCUAAUGUCACUAUCUCUUGGAUUAAUCACAGCAAACUCCCCAUUAUUUCAGACUAAACUAUGUAGCAAUUAUGAUGUCUGCUACAUGGUAAUUAACAAUUGCAAAUGGCAGAAAUCAGGUUUUAACACAUGAGACCUUUAACUUCCAUAAUAAUGAUAAAAAUUAAGAUGAUAAAAUUAAUAGUUUUUGAAAAUAACAGUUAACAUUUGAUCAUCAUUUUUAGACUUUCAAAGAACUUACAUAUCAAUUAUAUCAUUUUCUCUUUACAACUACUCUAAGAGAAAGGAAAGGUGUUAUACUUCUGUUUUAUACAACAGGAAAGUUAAGCAACUUAACAGAUUAUAAACAUGCUAGUUACAGAUUUUGGAAUAGAAUUACUUUUGUAUAAAUCAAUAUACAAAAUAAAUCCAUUAGUCUUUGGCAAAAGUUAGCUCUGAAGAAUGAUGAAGAUGUAACUUUCUAUGCAAGUGAUGGUUCUGUCAUGUUUGUCUCCAAACAGUAUUCUUAAUUCAUCUCCUUCUGAUUUCUUUGUUCCUGCCACAUCAUAAGAUAUAGUCCUCUUCCAGCUGAGCUCCUCACAACUGAUUCUUCCGUAAGAUACCUAGAAUGUUCACGUCAGUUCAGAUUCAAGUAUAUAUUUCCUAUACUGCACAUUUAGCUUUAUAAAAAAACUACAAAGCUCUUUUUUCAAAGUGGUGAUAAUACUUUACAUUUUUACCAGCAAUGUGUAAAACUUGAGUGCAGAGUGCAUCCUGUUGCUAAACUGUAUUCUUUAAUCCCUUUAAUGUCUUUCUAUUGCUUUUGGAACAAAACCAUGUUGUUUCAUGUUUUUUUCAUUUCUUUCAUGAUCUCAGCUUUUAACUUUGCAACUUCUUAGCACUCUUCUUUGUGCGGAUUUUUUUUUUUUUGCUUACUUUUGGUUUGGAUGCACCUUAUAUUCUCUUAUCUUAGUGCUAUUGCUCAUACUCUCCAUUGCUUAUAAUUCUCCUGAGUCUGUGCCAUAUGAAAAUCUUAUAAUCUUGGCCCUGGUAUUAAGUGACAUUUCUUUAUAAACAUAUUUCAAAAAGUCAAGUCUACCCUCAUCAUUCUGUUUCCCUUUAAUUGGUCCAUUUCUACAUUUUUUAUUUGUUUAUUAUCAGAAAGUGAAUUGGUCUAGCAGGGAACUGGCUACACGAGUUUGAACACCAGGUAAGAGAUCUGAGAUGGAAUUCCAAAAUGGAAAAAAGAAAUCUCCAUUCCAAAUGAAACUUUGAUUAAGAAUUAUCCACAAAUAAGAAAAAUAAAGAGCUACUCACGAUAAAGCAAAAUAACGUGUUCUUGUAACAUCCCCUCAAGAGUUCUGCAUAGUGUUCAAAUUUAGUGCUCCACCCUAGAACAUGACAGUCACAACAAAGAACCAUCAACCAUUAGAUUAAGUACAUUCCCAAGUUAAAUGUCACUUUGGCGUCUUUUAGGCAUUGCUCAUUCAAUUGUGAAUAUCAUGUUUGCUAUUUUGCUUUUUCAUUAAAUGUUCUCUGCACGUGGAUAUUUCUCAGUGUAAACACAAUUUAUGCACAUAACAAACACUUGUAGAAGUGUACCUUAUGCUAUUGUCCAGAAAAUAAAAAUAUGUAUAAAUGUACAAGAAAAUUUCUAUUAUCAUCAUUUGCCUUAGAAGUAAAAUUAUAAUAGAUGUAAUAUUCUUGUUUGAAAAAUUUAAAUUUUAUGUGAAUUUAUGUAAACACAUGUUCAAGAAUUUAAGGUCAGUAAUAUAUUAGUGAAAAGUAAAUAACUUCAAUUUGGUGGUAUUUUUAUGUUUAUAUUUACGUGAAGUCAGUGAGAAUCAAUUUCUUCUUUUAUCUGACCAACUAAAUUUUGAAAAUUUGAUCUUAAGUAAAAUGUUUAUCAUAAUGAAACCAAAGGUUGGAUUUUAUGAAAUACGAAUUGCUGUAUUUGUUGACUUUUUUUCCCCUUUCUUAUUUCAUCGAUAGCACAACAGCAGUUAUGGGCCUACAUUUUUAGGGCAAGAAAUAAAGUCUUAUAAUUGUAAUUGCAAAUUUCAGGAGUAACAUAUAUUUUCAUGGCCACACAAACCAUUUGGUAAAUUAAAACUUAAAUCCUAUCAUGAAAGCUAAAGUUCCUACAGCUUCUUGGAGAUAAAAUUGCCAUAAUAUUUUUGGCUUCAUAAAUUUUUUUGUGUGUGUGCUCAUUAAUACAAAUAAGGCCAAAGAUUUAAGAGUAUGAGUUUCAUUUUAAAUGUGACUUAAACAUAAAAACACAGUAUUUUUAAUAAACAUUCUAGAAAAAUACAACAGGACCAUCACCAUUAAUUAGUUUGAAAACUAAGUUUGAGCUCAUGUUUGGUACUCAUGGAAAUAAUAUCCAUGCCAGGGUAAACUGUGGCAGCUCUAUAUUAUUUGUUUUUUAUUUAAACUUACAAAGUGUUAAGUGGAGUUGAAGGACAGGACCAUGGCAAAUGAGUGAAAAAAGAUCUUAGAAAACUCACAUAUUAUUAUUACAAAAGAAACUUGGCUACCUAAGACCUUCAUCAUCAACAAUUUACUCCUCAAUAUGUGCCUCUUUAAUUUUCUUCAUUGCUACAGCCAGAGUUUGUAACUUUACCAUGUGUUUUGCAUUUCUCUUCAUUUCUUCUUAGCAGGAGCAAGUAGUAUACCUAGAACACCAGCAUUCUGAGAAUAUUAAUUAUAAAAUGGAAAUAAGGUAAGUUAAUCCUCCCAGCUCUGCUUAACUUCAAGACAAAGAAACUUGAAACUUUCCAACUGUGAAAACUUCUAGACCAUCCUCUUUAGAUUUCUGAAUGGGUUCCAGAAAGAAGGCUGGUAAGAGAUUUUCUUCUACUUGACAUAUCAUGGUAGUGAGCUUAGGUUAUAAGCUCUCUGAAAAUAUUUGAGGAGUCAUCGUGUUUGCCGCAGAGUACCUAAGCAGCCUGGCCUGAUAACUUUCUUGGUUACAGUACAUUUUCAAUCCUGUGGAUUUUUAGUGCUGUUGGAUUAAACCUAUGAUCAUGUUUUCCCCCUCAGUGUUGAAAGACUGGAAUGAGGUGCACUGUUAAUGUGUACUCAUAAUUCUUUCUCCCCAAACUGGAGGGUAUGUGCUGAACGAUGCCAAGCUCGUCACCCUCCUUGAAGAGCUGCAUUUUCUAGAAAUGAAAAUUAUGGUUAAUUAAGCCUCAUUGUCCUGUAAUUUACUUAAACCCACAAGCAAAUUAUUUAAGGAUCAUUCUCAUAUUUCAUAAAGCCAGUAUCAAUCCACUGGAAAAAAGGGAGGCUUUGUGAUUGAUGCUUUCCAAAACCAAAAUAACAUUUAUGUAAUCAGGCAUAGCUAAUUCGAACAAUGUGAAUGGAAAUAUCAACUGGAUUUUUUUAAGGACAAUAUAUCUGUGUGUAUAUCAUUAAAAUGGUUUGAAACAAAAAGAAAUCUGUUAUACAUGUUCUGCUGCUGUUAGCAAAUAGAAACAUGUCUUAGAAUUUUAAGGAAAUUUUAAAGUGUCCUUGAAAUUUUCAUCAGUUUUUCAACAUUCAAUAUGUCUUUUUAGAAAAUAAUUUAAUUUUUUUCUGCCUUCUCAUAUACAUGUCUUCCAAAGCUAUUGUUAUAAUUUUGCAAACUUGUACUUAAAUGACUAGAAAAGAUUCCAUGCUACUAAUUAACUACAUAGAAUCCUUAAUUUUUAUCUUACAUUAUACACUGAAUAAAAGGAACACAAAUAAAAUGGUUUUUUCAUUUCGUUUCACAGUAUACUUGUGUUAUAAUUAGGCAAAGUUUAAAGUUUAGUUGUUAACACCCACUGACUUUUUCAUUUUAAUUUUUAAAUCCCAUAAUCUUAUAAUGCUUCUAUUUUAAAGCAGGAGAAACCUCUCUAAACUGGACACCUCUUACAAUUUAAUACACAUGAUUUAAGAAAAUCAUUUACUUCUUAAGUUGUGAAAGUCAUUUGUAAUUUCCAAUUGCACUACUCGGAUCAUUAACAGAUAAUGAUACAUAAACACACAUUGUGUACUUUCCAAACACUUGAACCAGUUUAUUUUUUCAUUAGUAAAAUGCCAACGUGUAUCAUAUCUGCCAAGUCACCAUCUCUGGAAAUAUCAGUGUUAGGCCAACUUCACCUCAUAAAACUUUAACAAGAAAUUGCAGAACUUGGCUGUCUUGAAAUACCUGAGUGCUUUCUGGUUCCUUUUGCUGUAGUUUUCUGCUUUUGAAUUAUUUCUUGAAGACAGAAUAUGGAUAUUAAUCAUUCAACUUUAAAGAUAUAUUAACAAAUUUUAUUAUCACGUUUGUAACUUUCAAAGAUUGUUUUAUCUUACUACUAAUUAAUGGAUACUGGAUUGCAAAAGAAUUUAAAAUUGCACCCCAUUCCUUGUAAGUGACAGAUAUAAAAAUUUCAGCCUUCAUUUAGGUGCUUGACAUCAGAGUGGGUGUUAUCAUAUGAAGAACUCUUGGGAUAGGUUUAGAUUAAAUGGCAAUAAAAUGUAACAAAGUGUAACAACCCUUCCAUAUAAGAUCCUUAUGUAGUAUGUUUGUCAGUUUAAUAAUGUAACUGAAGUAAAUAAAGCUUAAUACUUCCAGUAUAAUUCUUCCAAAUGAAAUUAGAUUUAUUUCUACUGUAGUUCCUUACAGAUGCUUAAGCUAAGGGACCCUGCUUUUAUUUAAAAUAAAAUUUUCUGAAGAGAGGGAAUAACCCACCUGCUCUAAUUCUCCUAUUCCUCAUGAAUCUCUAUCCUUAGGAAUAAUAUGAUUCUUCUCCUUGAAUUGGUAGAAUAUAUUGAUAGAAAUAAUUAACCUGUCCUUCAAACUUGUCAAAGUUGCUCAUUAUUUUUUUUCUUUCUCAAACAAAAUCUCAGUGAGCUUUUGUGGAAGUGGGGUUAAAUAUUGCAUAAGGAUAAAUGGCAUUUUACUGAAAGACUGAAACAGCAACAUAAAACUGUAACUUCCUCUCCCCAGGAAAAAAGGUAAAUAUUCUGAAAAGUGGUCUCAUCCCACACUUCUAGAGACACUAUCAACAAUUCCGUAGAAGAGUGGCUUUGCAGUUUUCAUUCUCCUCUUUUUUUUUUGAAUAGAGCCCAAAGAAUUAACCAAAACACACGUCUACUCAGCUUAAGAUCAUAUCUACCAGCCUUUCCCAUAUGUAAGCGCUUGCUUAGAGCCUCACUUAAUUGCUAAGGCUGGCCAUGAACUUGAAAUCCUCCUGCCUUAGCCUGCAGAGUCUCUAGGAUUACAGAACUCACAACUUGGGAAAGUAUGCACAUGGACCCUGAGAGAGGAAGGAGACACCUGCCUGGUCAGCAGAUGGGCCAAGUGGACUCUGGAAAUCAAUGGGUGGCAGGUUUGCAGGCUGAAUUGCCCUUGCAUCCACAUGGGCCACAUUUAAUGAUGAAGAGAGUGAGCACAAAAGCUUAUGAAGUGGCUAAAUUCACGCAAGUGGUUAAAAAACUCCUUCUCCUUUGGCAUAUCCAUCAACAGCUGCCCUUCCUGUCUCUCAUCAGUUGACCUUUUCCACCUCUUAUAAGGAACACCUCUCUGGUUCUCUGAGUCCUUUUUUUGAAGAUGCUCUCACUAGGCUAAAGAAACACGAUGAUUCAACCGUUUAACAAUCAUUGGAUUCUGCUGUGAGAAAAUUCUACAUGACGAAUCCCAUUUUUGCACAGUCAGAGCUUUCUGAGCAAGGAAUAGAGGCACUGGGGAGCUAAAGGAGAAUUGAAUACCAAAACACCACUGGAAGUCAAAAACUACUCCUGAGAGAUAUAAAGACUUAGCUCUAAGGAACCAUUUGUUUUUAAUAUGUCCGGGUGGUAAAGCAGUGACCUUGUUUCUAAUCCCAAAGACAAUUCCUUUGC
Non-coding RNA from Ictidomys tridecemlineatus (thirteen-lined ground squirrel), 8708 nucleotides. The record is from RefSeq and is a predicted model, not a curated record. NCBI's taxonomy places the organism in Eukaryota, Metazoa, Chordata, Mammalia, Rodentia, Sciuridae.